UCAACGCAAAAAGCCUCUCAACUUAAACCCAACCCGACGAACUCCCUCCUUCAUCUCUAAAACCCCUCCCUCUCUCUCUCUCUCUCUCUCUCUCUCUCUCUCUCUUCUUUUACUCUACUCUCUCUCUCCUUCACCUGCGAAUCGUCGAUUGCUCGAAGCUUAUCAAUAUAGACAGUUCAUCUUGCUUCGACAAUAAUUUUUCACCCUCCAUUUUUGUGAAUCUACAGAUACAAAAUAAAAAUAAAAAUUGCAGAUAGCUAUCAUCUUGGGCUAAAGCGGUUCAUCGUUAUUGUUGUCAUUUUGAAAACAAUUACAUUCUUGCAGUAGCGCCAUUUCUGUAACCUGUUUCCCCUGCUAAACAGGCCUUCUAUAACCUCUGCUGGGUUUGGAAAAAAAGAAAAGAAAAAAGAAAUUCAAGUUAAAAAGGGUCAGCAGAAAGAGAAGGGAAGGCAUCAUCCAUAUGGAAAGUAGUAAUAGUAGAGCGGAAGAGUUGGCAGCUCCUCUCAAUGAUCUCCCCCACGUUGACUUCUGCUGUGCCUACGGAUCUUCUCUCCUCCCAAAUAACUCUAACAAGAAACCAAUGGUUGAUUACAUUUUAGGUGUAUCAGAUCCCAUGCAGUGGCAUUCUCAGAAUCUUGAGAAGAACAGACAUCAUUAUGGAUCAUUUUUAGCAUACCUUGGUUCAAGAACGAUUACGCAAGUUGCGGAUGAGAUAGGAGUAGGGGUACACUUUAAUCCAUACGUGCGGUUUGAGGAUAAGGUGAUCAAAUAUGGGGUUAUUCGAAUGCAUGAUUUGUUACAAGAUGUAUUGACAUGGAACAGGUUUUACAUAAGUGGUCGCUUACAGAAACCUGUUCAUAUUCUAGUGGAUAGUUUGGAUGUUGGGAAUGUCAACUUGGUGAAUUUAAAGGCCGCUGCUUCAGCUGCACUGCUUCUGUUGCCAUCUGAAUUCAAUGAGGAAGAUCUGUAUGCCAAGAUCUGUUCUCUCUCAUACAUGGGCGACCUGAGAAUGCUAUUUGCAGAGGACAAAAACAAGGCAAAAAGUAUUGUUUCUGGAAGUCUUGACAAGUUUCGGCAACUGUAUACACCAUUUCUAUGUGAGUUUGAUACCAAAGGAUUGCUGAAAUUUUCUCCGACUGGAGAUCCAGAUUCAAAAAUAGUUCAGGACUGCAGCUUAUCCGCAGCUUGUUCCCUUGUUUCUUUCCUUCCUGCUACAGUGCAGAGCCGAAUGUGUGCUGAGUUAGGAGAGAAGCAAUAUAUGAGUGAAUCUGGGAGACUCAGACGCCAAGUUGUUGUCCCAUCCAAAGAAGCAGCUGCAAAGUGCAUGGAGAAAGCAUUGAGGCGAUUGGUUGCCGUUUCGAGCACGCGGCAGGCAGUUUCUGGAUUCUUUGCUGCCGGAGGUGUCAAUGCAGGUCGUUAUCUGGUAAGCAAGAUAUCAAAGGCACUGUCUUCCCGUUCAUGAAAUCUCACAACACAUAUAUGGAGUAAGGAGGCUCAAGUGAAAAUGUUCUCGGCAAGCUAGAAGAUAUUAAUUUAAAAAAUUACUCUAAAAUCUUGCAUUUCGGCCGGGGAUGAUAUCCAUUCAAGUUGACCCAACCCGCUUUCGAUCUGCCAGGUUGAUCCAGGAGGUUAGUUCAAGUUUGCUUGACCUGGACCUGGCAUGUCAGGUUUAUGUCCUCUUGACCCAGACCCACCCAGGUCUGGGUCCACCCUCAACCCAGACCUGACAUGUUUACAUCGCGCCCUUUCUUUUUCCUCUUUAUAUUAUAAAAUGUUGUACCG
Non-coding RNA from Amborella trichopoda, 1782 nucleotides. The record is from RefSeq and is a predicted model, not a curated record. NCBI's taxonomy places the organism in Eukaryota, Viridiplantae, Streptophyta, Magnoliopsida, Amborellales, Amborellaceae.